This 73-nucleotide transfer RNA is filed under the name Bos taurus (domestic cattle). It matches the Rfam family "tRNA". Rfam says of the family: Transfer RNA (tRNA) molecules are approximately 80 nucleotides in length. Their secondary structure includes four short double-helical elements and three loops (D, anti-codon, and T loops). The record is from Rfam by way of RNAcentral. RNAcentral also lists the same sequence under 2 other names. Lineage: Eukaryota; Metazoa; Chordata; Mammalia; Artiodactyla; Bovidae.
UCCCUUGUGGCUCAGCUGGUUAAAGAAUCUGCCUGCAACGCAGGAGACCUGGGUUCGAUCCCUGGAUUGGGAA